Long non-coding RNA from Ipomoea triloba (trilobed morning glory), 475 nucleotides. RefSeq lists it as uncharacterized. Lineage: Eukaryota; Viridiplantae; Streptophyta; Magnoliopsida; Solanales; Convolvulaceae. The transcript is spliced from 2 exons. The record is from RefSeq and is a predicted model, not a curated record.
CUGUCUCCAUCAUAAUUUUCAAAGGGAAGAAACCUGCAUGGACCGCCAACUACUAUAAAGAGACAAGUGUAUAGCGGCCCGGAAAGCGAAUACGAUGAGGAGAAGAACGAUGAUCAAUCUCCGCAAGAGCAUAGCUUUAUUUGCUGUGUUUCUGUUUCUGACAUUUAUUCUGCUCUCGGCGUGUCAAGCAAAGAUCUUAGACUACUCAUCACUAGCAGCUCAGGGAAGCUUAAUUCACCGACGGAGUGACAGGGAAGCUCCUGGACCUCCUGGACCAGCUGCUAAUGUCCAUGAUCAUAAUCACCAUUAAGGAGGUGGCAGAAGUAUUGUGCCUUUAGAUUAACUGAACUUGUUGUGUAUGUUUGUAACUAGUUCCAAAAUUUGCCAAUUGGAGACUAGUGAUCAAGUAGAAAGCAUCACGUAUACACUUGUAUAAUCAUCAUUUAUUGGUAACUAAGAUGGUAUUUAAACUUUA